This is a non-coding RNA of Hydra vulgaris (swiftwater hydra), 953 nucleotides long. NCBI's taxonomy places the organism in Eukaryota, Metazoa, Cnidaria, Hydrozoa, Anthoathecata, Hydridae. The record is from RefSeq and is a predicted model, not a curated record.
AAAUCUCUUUCUUAUACUUAUGCUUUUUGAUUGAAAAAUAACAUCAACAAAAAUGCUGAUUAUAUUAAGGUUCUUAUUUAAAAUAAGAUCAAACAAAAUAAGAUAAAAAUUCAGUUACACUUUGAUUGAAAGUUAAUCAAGGUUUGCAUAUAUUUAUUUAUAACUAGUAUGUUAAAUAAUUACAAUGAAAAUGUUUUUAUUACAUAUUUAUUUGAUUCCAAAUUCCAGAACAUGUUAUAAAUGAAUGUUGAUGUAACAGUUGCUAGGGUUUGCAUUCUUGUGAGAGCUGAAGGAACUACUCAUCUACAUAGUGCUCCAUGGGUUCCUUCCCAUACAGGAUUAAAUUGGUUUAGGCUAUUAAGGAGAUUUUGACCGAGUUUGGUAUUGCUGAUUAUGUAAGAAUGGUUUUCUUUGACACUACUGCUACCAAUACUGGAAUAACUUGUUGUGCUAUAUGCAGGUAAACAAUUUUUUUUAAUAAUUCAAAAAAAGAACUCUGAGAGCUAAUACAACAAACUAUUCAUUAAUGGCUUCAAAUUUAUUAGAUUGAGUUUUAGAUAUAUUCUUGGAACAUUAUGAGUCAGUUACCAUAUAUUCUUGGAACAUUAUGAGUCAGUUACCAUAGGUCAGCAGACCUGGCGAUGUACUUUUGUUGAUGUUGAUAAUGACACAGUUCAUUGAUCACUUCAAUUCGCAACAGAUUUGUCAUUCUUAGUUUAAAGAACAAGCAGAUGAGGCAAGAAAUCUUUUUAUAACACUUGUUAAUGAAGGUGUUUUCAAAUAUUUUUAGGAACCAACAUUCAAGCAUCUCAACAUUCACAAGCCUGGGGCAGUAAACCAUACACGGUUUAUGGCAGUAAGUAUUUACUGAUCUGAAGAGUUCGCAAUGUCAUGCUUCCUUAUAAUUUGACAAAGCAAAUCCUGAACUUGAGACAAAAGGAAGAUAAAGAAUG